Molecule: ribosomal RNA, 492 nt
Filed under: uncultured bacterium
Lineage: Bacteria
Description: partial 16S ribosomal RNA
Rfam family: Bacterial small subunit ribosomal RNA
Source: RNAcentral
AGUGAACGCUGGCGGUAGGCCUAACACAUGCAAGUCGAACGGCAGCACAGUAAGAGCUUGCUCUUACGGGUGGCGAGUGGCGGACGGGUGAGGAAUACAUCGGAAUCUACUUUUUCGUGGGGGAUAACGUAGGGAAACUUACGCUAAUACCGCAUACGACCUACGGGUGAAAGCAGGGGAUCUUCGGACCUUGCGCGAUUGAAUGAGCCGAUGUCGGAUUAGCUAGUUGGCGGGGUAAAGGCCCACCAAGGCGACGAUCCGUAGCUGGUCUGAGAGGAUGAUCAGCCACACGGGAACGGAGACACGGUCCAGAGUCCUACGGGAGGCAGCAGUGGGGAAUAUUGGACAAUGGGCGCAAGCCUGAUCCAGCCAGACCGCGUGGGUGAAGAAGGCCUUCGGGUUGUAAAGCCCGUUUGUUGGGAAAGAAAAGCAGCAGGUUAAUACCCCGCUGUUCUGACGGUACCCAAAGAAUAAGCACCGGCUAACUUCGUG